RNAcentral lists this ribosomal RNA (422 nucleotides) under uncultured bacterium. RNAcentral's name for it is "bacterial SSU rRNA". It matches the Rfam family "Bacterial small subunit ribosomal RNA", at positions 355 to 774 of the family's 1533-position model. The record is from RNAcentral.
UGAGGAAUAUUGGGCAAUGCCCGCAAGGGUGACCCAGCAACGCCGCGUGGAGGAUGAAUGUCGUAAGAUUGUAAACUCCUGUUAGAGGGGAAGAAUAGUACCGGUUGGACCGGUAUAUGACUGUACCCUCAGAGAAAGCCCCGGCUAACUACGUGCCAGCAGCCGCGGUAAUACGUAGGGGGCAAGCGUUGUCCGGAUUUACUGGGAGUACAGGGCGCGCAGGCGGGAUAAAAAGUCAGUGGUGAAAUCCUACAGCUUAACUGUAGAACUGCCUUUGAUACUUUUAGUCUUCAGUGCGGGAGAGAGAGACGGAAUGCCAGAUGUAGUGGUGAAAAACGUAGAUAUCUGGAAGAACACCAGUUGCGAAGGCGGUCUCUUGGUCCGACACUGACGCUGAGGCGCGAAAGCGUGGGGAGCAAACA